RNAcentral lists this long non-coding RNA (285 nucleotides) under Brassica napus (rape). Its description in RNAcentral is "long non-coding RNA (BNAP_LNC011660)". The record is from RNAcentral. Lineage: Eukaryota; Viridiplantae; Streptophyta; Magnoliopsida; Brassicales; Brassicaceae.
ACAGAUGCUAUGCCUCAGGCAAUAUUACCGCCUGCAACGGCGUCAGAUACUGCAGAGAAUACGAGGCAGUCAUCUGUUAUCAACACAUCGCCAUCUACUUCUGUCAUUCCCAAAACAGAGGAUCCUGAAAACUCUGUCUCCGAAACAGAGCAUCAAGAAACAUACCACACAGCAAACCAAGAACCCUUGGGACGUGGCCAUAGAACGCGCAAACCAUCUACCCGCUACCGCGACUUUGUUAUCAACUCCGUUACUGCAAUCCCCUCUACUCCCUCUCUCCCGUCU